RNAcentral lists this ribosomal RNA (253 nucleotides) under uncultured bacterium. RNAcentral's name for it is "partial 16S ribosomal RNA". It matches the Rfam family "Bacterial small subunit ribosomal RNA", at positions 524 to 776 of the family's 1533-position model. The record is from RNAcentral.
UCCAGAGGUGGCAAUCGUUGUUCGGAAUUACUGGGCGUAAAGGGCGCGUAGGCGGCCUGUUAAGUCCCGUGUGAAAUCCCUCGGCUCAACCGAGGAACUGCACGGGAAACUGGCGGGCUUGAGUUCGGGAGAGGGAAGCGGAAUUCCGGGUGUAGCGGUGAAAUGCGUAGAUAUCCGGAGGAACACCGGUGGCGAAGGCGGCUUCCUGGACCGACACUGACGCUGAGGCGCGAAAGCUAGGGGAGAAAACGGG